GAUGAACGCUGGCGGCGUGCCUAACACAUGCAAGUCGAGCGAUUCUCUUCGGAGAAGAGCGGCGGACGGGUGAGUAACGCGUGGGUAACCUGCCCUGUACACACGGAUAACAUACCGAAAGGUAUGCUAAUACGAGAUAAUAUACUUUUAUCGCAUGGUAGAAGUAUCAAAGCUUUUGCGGUACAGGAUGGACCCGCGUCUGAUUAGCUAGUUGGUAAGGUAACGGCUUACCAAGGCGACGAUCAGUAGCCGACCUGAGAGGGUGAUCGGCCACAUUGGAACUGAGACACGGUCCAAACUCCUACGGAGGCAGCAGUGGGGAAUAUUGCACAAUGGGCGAAAGCCUGAUGCAGCAACGCCGCGUGAGCGAUGAAGGCCUUGGUCGUAAAGCUCUGUCCUCCAAGGAAGAUAAUGACGGUACUUGAGGAGGAAGCCC
This 436-nucleotide ribosomal RNA is filed under the name uncultured bacterium. RNAcentral describes it as "bacterial SSU rRNA". It matches the Rfam family "Bacterial small subunit ribosomal RNA", at positions 28 to 493 of the family's 1533-position model. The record is from RNAcentral.